This 2900-nucleotide ribosomal RNA is filed under the name Klebsiella pneumoniae. RNAcentral describes it as "bacterial LSU rRNA". It matches the Rfam family "Bacterial large subunit ribosomal RNA". Lineage: Bacteria; Pseudomonadati; Pseudomonadota; Gammaproteobacteria; Enterobacterales; Enterobacteriaceae. RNAcentral also lists the same sequence under 1 other name. The record is from RNAcentral.
UUAAGCGACUAAGCGUACACGGUGGAUGCCCUGGCAGUCAGAGGCGAUGAAGGACGUGCUAAUCUGCGAAAAGCGUCGGUAAGGUGAUAUGAACCGUUAUAACCGGCGAUGUCCGAAUGGGGAAACCCAGUGUGAUUCGUCACACUAUCGUUAACUGAAUACAUAGGUUAACGAGGCGAACCGGGGGAACUGAAACAUCUAAGUACCCCGAGGAAAAGAAAUCAACCGAGAUUCCCCCAGUAGCGGCGAGCGAACGGGGAGCAGCCCAGAGUCUGAAUCAGCUUGUGUGUUAGUGGAACGGUCUGGAAAGUCCGACGGUACAGGGUGAUAGUCCCGUACACCAAAAUGCACAGGCUGUGAACUCGAAGAGUAGGGCGGGACACGUGGUAUCCUGUCUGAAUAUGGGGGGACCAUCCUCCAAGGCUAAAUACUCCUGACUGACCGAUAGUGAACCAGUACCGUGAGGGAAAGGCGAAAAGAACCCCGGCGAGGGGAGUGAAAAAGAACCUGAAACCGUGUACGUACAAGCAGUGGGAGCACCUUCGGGUGUGACUGCGUACCUUUUGUAUAAUGGGUCAGCGACUUAUAUUCUGUAGCAAGGUUAACCGUAUAGGGGAGCCGCAGGGAAACCGAGUCUUAACUGGGCGUUAAGUUGCAGGGUAUAGACCCGAAACCCGGUGAUCUAGCCAUGGGCAGGUUGAAGGUUGGGUAACACUAACUGGAGGACCGAACCGACUAAUGUUGAAAAAUUAGCGGAUGACUUGUGGCUGGGGGUGAAAGGCCAAUCAAACCGGGAGAUAGCUGGUUCUCCCCGAAAGCUAUUUAGGUAGCGCCUCGUGAAUUCAUCUUCGGGGGUAGAGCACUGUUUCGGCUAGGGGGUCAUCCCGACUUACCAACCCGAUGCAAACUACGAAUACCGAAGAAUGUUAUCACGGGAGACACACGGCGGGUGCUAACGUCCGUCGUGAAGAGGGAAACAACCCAGACCGCCAGCUAAGGUCCCAAAGUCAUGGUUAAGUGGGAAACGAUGUGGGAAGGCACAGACAGCCAGGAUGUUGGCUUAGAAGCAGCCAUCAUUUAAAGAAAGCGUAAUAGCUCACUGGUCGAGUCGGCCUGCGCGGAAGAUGUAACGGGGCUAAACCAUGCACCGAAGCUGCGGCAGCGACACUAUGUGUUGUUGGGUAGGGGAGCGUUCUGUAAGCCUGCGAAGGUGACCUGUGAGGGUUGCUGGAGGUAUCAGAAGUGCGAAUGCUGACAUAAGUAACGAUAAAGCGGGUGAAAAGCCCGCUCGCCGGAAGACCAAGGGUUCCUGUCCAACGUUAAUCGGGGCAGGGUGAGUCGACCCCUAAGGCGAGGCCGAAAGGCGUAGUCGAUGGGAAACAGGUUAAUAUUCCUGUACUUGGUGUUACUGCGAAGGGGGGACGGAGAAGGCUAUGUUAGCCGGGCGACGGUUGUCCCGGUUUAAGCAUGUAGGCUGAUUAUCCAGGCAAAUCCGGAUAAUCAAGGCUGAGGUGUGAUGACGAGGCACUACGGUGCUGAAGUAACAAAUGCCCUGCUUCCAGGAAAAGCCUCUAAGCAUCAGGUAACAUCAAAUCGUACCCCAAACCGACACAGGUGGUCAGGUAGAGAAUACCAAGGCGCUUGAGAGAACUCGGGUGAAGGAACUAGGCAAAAUGGUGCCGUAACUUCGGGAGAAGGCACGCUGGUGUGUAGGUGAAGUCCCUGCGGAUGGAGCUGAGACCAGUCGAAGAUACCAGCUGGCUGCAACUGUUUAUUAAAAACACAGCACUGUGCAAACACGAAAGUGGACGUAUACGGUGUGACGCCUGCCCGGUGCCGGAAGGUUAAUUGAUGGGGUUAUCCGUAAGGAGAAGCUCUUGAUCGAAGCCCCGGUAAACGGCGGCCGUAACUAUAACGGUCCUAAGGUAGCGAAAUUCCUUGUCGGGUAAGUUCCGACCUGCACGAAUGGCGUAAUGAUGGCCAGGCUGUCUCCACCCGAGACUCAGUGAAAUUGAACUCGCUGUGAAGAUGCAGUGUACCCGCGGCAAGACGGAAAGACCCCGUGAACCUUUACUAUAGCUUGACACUGAACAUUGAGCCUUGAUGUGUAGGAUAGGUGGGAGGCUUUGAAGCGUGGACGCCAGUCUGCGUGGAGCCAACCUUGAAAUACCACCCUUUAAUGUUUGAUGUUCUAACGUUGGCCCCUUAUCGGGGUUGCGGACAGUGUCUGGUGGGUAGUUUGACUGGGGCGGUCUCCUCCCAAAGCGUAACGGAGGAGCACGAAGGUUAGCUAAUCCUGGUCGGACAUCAGGAGGUUAGUGCAAUGGCAUAAGCUAGCUUGACUGCGAGCGUGACGGCGCGAGCAGGUGCGAAAGCAGGUCAUAGUGAUCCGGUGGUUCUGAAUGGAAGGGCCAUCGCUCAACGGAUAAAAGGUACUCCGGGGAUAACAGGCUGAUACCGCCCAAGAGUUCAUAUCGACGGCGGUGUUUGGCACCUCGAUGUCGGCUCAUCACAUCCUGGGGCUGAAGUAGGUCCCAAGGGUAUGGCUGUUCGCCAUUUAAAGUGGUACGCGAGCUGGGUUUAGAACGUCGUGAGACAGUUCGGUCCCUAUCUGCCGUGGGCGCUGGAGAAUUGAGGGGGGCUGCUCCUAGUACGAGAGGACCGGAGUGGACGCAUCACUGGUGUUCGGGUUGUCAUGCCAAUGGCACUGCCCGGUAGCUAAAUGCGGAAGAGAUAAGUGCUGAAAGCAUCUAAGCACGAAACUUGCCCCGAGAUGAGUUCUCCCUGAGACUUUAAGUCUCCUGAAGGAACGUUAAAGACGAUGACGUUGAUAGGCCGGGUGUGUAAGCGCAGCGAUGCGUUGAGCUAACCGGUACUAAUGAACCGUGAGGCUUAACCUU